RNAcentral lists this small nuclear RNA (313 nucleotides) under Octodon degus (degu). RNAcentral describes it as "7SK RNA (ENSODEG00000024315.1)". It matches the Rfam family "7SK RNA". From Rfam's summary of the family: 7SK was discovered as an abundant small nuclear RNA in the mid-70s but a possible function has only recently been suggested. Two independent studies have found that 7SK RNA binds the CDK9/cyclin T complex (known as elongation factor P-TEFb). Lineage: Eukaryota; Metazoa; Chordata; Mammalia; Rodentia; Octodontidae. The record is from RNAcentral.
GCUUGUGAGGGCAAUCUGGCUGUAACAUCUGUCAUGGGACCGAUUGCCAGUGUUGAUUUGGCUGAUUGGCUGGCUAGGCAGUGUCCCCUUCCUCCAUCAAUGCUCCAUAUGCAUGUGUCCCUCAUGAAGCUCCACCAUUGGAGGAGGAUGACCUUAGAGGAUGACCAUUCCUCUGUCCAGGAUAUACAAGUACCUGCGCUCCCCUGCUAUAACCUUCAAAGAAGCUUUCCAGGUCCACGUUUGUGUGUUCUCACUCCUGAAUUCUCACUCCUGAAUUCCAAAGUUUAUAUCCAGUACUUACUGGACCUGCUAA